UCUCUCCUUUUUCCCUCCAUUUUCCCUCUCCUUUCCCCUCUCCCCGUUCCUUCUUCCCCGCAGGCGGCCGCGGCUGCACCGUCUACAGCGUCGUGGUCAACUCGGCCUUCUUCAGGACACUGCAGGUGAGCGGGGCCGGGGGCUCGGUGGGCACCUGGGGGGCACUUGGGGGGCUCUGACCCCGUGGCCCCCCAGGCCGACCCACUGUACCUCGAGUUCUUCCUCACCGUGGCCAUGGAGGGGCUGUCGGAGAAGUACGGGCUGGAGCUGGAGCUGACUGGUGAGACUGGAGGGCACUGGGGGGCACUGGGGGUGCUGGGGGGCACUGGGGAGAAAUGGGGGGCACUGGGGCGUGCUGGGGGGCACUGGGGUAGGGCUGGACCCCCCCGAGCCCCCCCGCUCCCCAGGCUGGUGCGUGCUGCGGAACCGCAAAUUCCUGGGCUCCAUCUCGGCCCAGAACAUCCGGGCCCGGCCCCGGCCCCACAUCCAGGAGCUCCCAAGGUGAGUGGGGACCCCCCGGGACCCCUCCCCGAAAAUCCCCGUGGCCCUCCCAGCCUCAGCUGUGUCCCCCUGCAGCCCCCCGGAUCCCCCCCAGUUCGUGGUGGUGGCCGAGCCCACGGCCCGGGACCCGCAAGUGCUGCAGGCCCGGGUGCACCUGCCCCAGGUGGUUCUCACCGUGACGAUGCCGCUGCGGGCGUGAGGGACGGGGGACCCUCAGCCCCACCGCGGGACCCCCCCAGAGCGACCAGGAUCGUCCGGGACCUUCCCCAGCAUUGUCCAGGACUCUCCCCAGCAUCGCUCGGGACCCCCUGGAGUUCCCCAGCUCAGGACUGGCCUGUGGGGACGCCCUUCAGGACCCUCUUGGGAUCUCUUUGGGGCUCCUCCGGGACCCUCCUGGAUCCCCAGGAUCCCCCUGGACCCCCCAGCUCAAGGCUGGCCUGGACUUCCCUGUGGGGCCACCCUUCGGGACCCUCCUGGGGUCUCUUUGGGGCUCCCCUGGUCCCCUCCUUUUCCCCCCUAGGCCCCUCUUCCCACCCUCCACAUCCCCCUACCCCGUGCUCCCCUCGGCCCCCCCUCUGCUCCCCCAUCUUUUUUGGUACGAAACCCC
Molecule: long non-coding RNA, 1108 nt
Filed under: Chloebia gouldiae (Gouldian finch)
Lineage: Eukaryota; Metazoa; Chordata; Aves; Passeriformes; Passeridae
Description: Erythrura gouldiae (Gouldian finch) lncRNA (ENSEGOG00005009922.1)
Source: RNAcentral